UGAAGAAGCUGAUAAACAAUAAUGAAAUUUUUAGUAUAGCUUUUCAUGCUAAGCUUUACCUAAGGGACACUGUAUAUCAUACGUUUUGAAAAUGUAUAUAUGUUUUUAUAUAUAUAUUCAUCUUAAGAAAUGGGGUACCCCUUAGUAGUAAUUACACUGUAGGGAGGGGCUAUUCCCCUUGCUGCUCUGUAGGAAAGCACCAUAGUCUUGUAGUGGAUGCAGGCUUUACAUGGAAGCCGUUUGACUCGGGAAGGAGGAACACCAGGCAGGCACCGCUCGGCGUUAAGUGGAAUGGUUUCGAAGGCACAAGCAGAGAGCCCUGCCAACAAGUUGCAGUUAUCCAGAUGAGAAAUGACAAGUGCCUGGAUUAGUACCUGCACCAUUUCCUGUGUGAUAUUAUUAUAAUUUCAAACUAUAAUAACAAGUUAUGAAAUUGGUGAUGUGGUACACAAUUGGAUGAGUUAAACAAGAAAUGGGGUCCCUUAGUGUUUCAUGACCACUGCUUUCACUACUACUAGCUUUUUAUAGCCAGUAGUAUAUAGAAUUAUAGAAAACUCUGGAGUGAAUAUUCAAGUGUAAACACAGAUUUUGACUUGUGAUUUGUAUGUUGAUUAAUGUUAAAACAUUGAUUUUGUAGAAAUCACGGCAAUGUCAUCUGAGCAAUGAAAUAAUUGUUCCCAUAAGUAUAGUGGUUGGAAUGUACACUGUAUGAUAAUCAAUGUAUCUUCAAAACACAAUAGGAAUUAUACAGUUACACAUGUAGUGAUUUUGAUUUCAGCUGGCAUGUGAUAAAAUGUGGUGGGAAGGGCAGAAAUUAUGUAUUACCAUGAAAUAUUUAAAAAAACUAAUUUAUGUUUGUUUCUUGUCAUGCUUAUGUUAACUUUUAAUCUUGAGAAAGACUAUUGGUGAGAGUAUGUUCCUGCAGAAAUCCAAUUGAAAGUUUUGUACAGAUUUCCUGUAAUUGUGUUAUUUGACUUCAACCAUCUCUUACUAUCCUGUGAGUAAUAAAACAGAGCCCACACAGUGGCUCAUUUGCUUUCAAAACUCCAAUGCACCUGUUUAUUGAUUGCUCUAAAAACUGUUGCUAUUGACACACCUGUGUUAACAGCCAAACUGAUUCAGAGCUUCCUGAAGCUUCUGCGCAUGUAUAUAUUCUCAAUGCACGGAGAAC
Molecule: long non-coding RNA, 1171 nt
Organism: Esox lucius (northern pike)
Lineage: Eukaryota; Metazoa; Chordata; Actinopteri; Esociformes; Esocidae
Source: Ensembl